UACGAAGGGGGCUAGCGUUGUUCGGAAUCACUGGGCGUAAAGCGCACGUAGGCGGAUCUUUAAGUCAGGGGUGAAAUCCCGAGGCUCAACCUCGGAACUGCCUUUGAUACUGGCGAUCUAGAGUCCGGGAGAGGUGAGUGGAACUCCUAGUGUAGAGGUGAAAUUCGUAGAUAUUAGGAAGAACACCAGUGGCGAAGGCGGCUCACUGGCCCGGUACUGACGCUGAUGUGCGAAAGCGUGGGGAGCAAACAGG
This 253-nucleotide ribosomal RNA is filed under the name uncultured bacterium. RNAcentral describes it as "partial 16S ribosomal RNA". It matches the Rfam family "Bacterial small subunit ribosomal RNA", at positions 524 to 776 of the family's 1533-position model. The record is from RNAcentral.